RNAcentral lists this ribosomal RNA (482 nucleotides) under uncultured bacterium. RNAcentral describes it as "bacterial SSU rRNA". It matches the Rfam family "Bacterial small subunit ribosomal RNA", at positions 28 to 507 of the family's 1533-position model. The record is from RNAcentral.
GAUGAACGCUAGCGGCAGGCUUAAUACAUGCAAGUCGAGGGGCAGCGGGUGUAGCAAUACAUGCCGGCGACCGGCGCACGGGUGCGUAACGCGUAUGUAACCUACCUUUAACUGGAGGAUAGCCCCGAGAAAUCGGGAUUAAUACUCCAUAAAAUUAUGAGAAGGCAUCUUUUUAUAAUUAAAGCUCCGGCGGUUUUAGAUGGGCAUGCGUGACAUUAGCUAGUUGGUGAGGUAACGGCUCACCAAGGCUCCGAUGUCUAGGGGUUCUGAGAGGAUUAACCCCCACACUGGUACUGAGACACGGACCAGACUCCUACGGGAGGCAGCAGUAAGGAAUAUUGGGCAAUGGACGCAAGUCUGACCCAGCCAUGCCGCGUGAAGGAUGACGGCCCUAUGGGUUGUAAACUUCUUUUGUACGGGAAAACCUUCGAACGUGUUCGAAGCUGAUGGUACCGUAAGAAUAAGCAUCGGCUAACUCCGUG